This 31-nucleotide non-coding RNA is filed under the name Rattus norvegicus (Norway rat). Lineage: Eukaryota; Metazoa; Chordata; Mammalia; Rodentia; Muridae. The record is from RNAcentral.
UGACUUUGGUCAGUUGUCUACAUGUACCUGC